GACGAACCGCCCGAACGUUAUUCGGAAUCACUGGGCUUAAAGGGAGCGUAGGCGGGCUGCCAAGUCCGGGGUGAAAUCCUCCAGCUUAACUGGAGAACUGCCUCGGAUACUGGAAGUCUCGAGGAGGGUAGGGGCACGCGGAACUGUGGGUGGAGCGGUGAAAUGCGUUGAUAUCCAUAGGAACUCCGGUGGCGAAGGCGGCGUGCUGGACCCUUUCUGACGCUGAGGCUCGAAAGCCAGGGGAGCAAACGGG
This 253-nucleotide ribosomal RNA is filed under the name uncultured bacterium. Its description in RNAcentral is "partial 16S ribosomal RNA". It matches the Rfam family "Bacterial small subunit ribosomal RNA", at positions 524 to 776 of the family's 1533-position model. The record is from RNAcentral.